RNAcentral lists this ribosomal RNA (405 nucleotides) under bacterium. RNAcentral describes it as "partial 16S ribosomal RNA". It matches the Rfam family "Bacterial small subunit ribosomal RNA", at positions 355 to 776 of the family's 1533-position model. The record is from RNAcentral.
UAAGGAAUAUUGCGCAAUGGGGGAAACCCUGACGCAGCAACGCCGCGUGGAGGAUGACACUUUUCGGAGCGUAAACUCCUUUUAUCAGGAAAGAAUAAUGACGGUACCUGAUGAAUAAGCACCGGCUAACUCCGUGCCAGCAGCCGCGGUAAUACGGGGGGUGCAAGCGUUACUCGGAAUCACUGGGCGUAAAGGACGCGUAGGCGGAUUAUCAAGUCUUUUGUGAAAUCUAGUGGCUUAACCACUAAACUGCUUAGGAAACUGAUAGUCUAGAGUAGGGGAGAGGUAGAUGGAAUUCUUGGUGUAGGGGUAAAAUCCGUAGAGAUCAAGAAGAAUACCCAUUGCGAAAGCGAUCUGCUGGAACCUAACUGACGCGGAGGCGUGAAAGCGUGGGUAGCAAACAGG